GACGAACGCUGGCGGCGUGCCUAAUACAUGCAAGUAGAACGCCGAAGAGAGGAGCUUGCUCUUCUUGGAUGAGUUGCGAACGGGUGAGUAACGCGUAGGUAACCUGCCUUGUAGCGGGGGAUAACUAUUGGAAACGAUAGCUAAUACCGCAUAACAAUGGAUGACACAUGUCAUUUAUUUGAAAGGGGCAAUUGCUCCACUACAAGAUGGACCUGCGUUGUAUUAGCUAGUAGGUGAGGUAAUGGCUCACCUAGGCGACGAUACAUAGCCGACCUGAGAGGGUGAUCGGCCACACUGGGACUGAGACACGGCCCAGACUCCUACGGGAGGCAGCAGUAGGGAAUCUUCGGCAAUGGGGGCAACCCUGACCGAGCAACGCCGCGUGAGUGAAGAAGGUUUUCGGAUCGUAAAGCUCUGUUGUAAGUCAAGAGCGGGUGUGAGAGUGGAAAGUUCACACUGUGACGGUAGCUUACCAGAAAGGGACGGCUAACUACGUG
This 497-nucleotide ribosomal RNA is filed under the name uncultured bacterium. RNAcentral describes it as "partial 16S ribosomal RNA". It matches the Rfam family "Bacterial small subunit ribosomal RNA", at positions 28 to 507 of the family's 1533-position model. The record is from RNAcentral.